GCCGGCAGCCAUAUCACCCUGUAGCCCAAGACUGGUUGCCCACUGAAGCUAAGCAGGGCUGAGCCUGGUCAGUACCUGGAUGGGAGACCUCCUGGGAAAACUAGGUUGCUGCUGGAA
Ribosomal RNA from Sinocyclocheilus anshuiensis, 117 nucleotides. NCBI's taxonomy places the organism in Eukaryota, Metazoa, Chordata, Actinopteri, Cypriniformes, Cyprinidae. The record is from Ensembl.